GGCAAAUGCCAAAAAGAAACAAAAUAACAAUAAUAAAAUGUUUAUUAUUGUAUCCGCCUCCUAGGCAAAAAAGUAUAGUAUAAAGUGUUUUGUGUGUGUUACACAUUACACAAAAAAUUCCUUAUUUAUAUAAAAUUUGUAAAAAUUGAAAUUGUGUGGACAUAUUAUAUCAAAUUAAUUUGUAUACAAAAUGUCUAAAAAUUUGAAAUACAUAAAAUUAUAGUUGUACUUGUAUAAAAUUGAAAAGUAAUUUUAUAUAAGUCAAUCAUUGUUCUUUUUUUAAGAACUUGAGACAUUCGCAACAAAAAUUUUAUGUUUUAAUUAUAAAAGAGAAUAAUAAUAAGCAAAAAUUAUUGAAGGAAUUGAUAUAUGCCAAUUUGAAAAUUUUUGGUGUAUUUUUGAUUUCUUUCAAUAAAUAUAUAUAUGANGUGCUAUUGAAAAUAAAAAUUAUAUCACUCUAAGCGGUGGAUCACUUGGCUCAUGGGUCGA
Molecule: ribosomal RNA, 489 nt
Filed under: Belvosia sp. Woodley04D
Lineage: Eukaryota; Metazoa; Arthropoda; Insecta; Diptera; Tachinidae
Description: partial ribosomal RNA
Source: RNAcentral